ACAUUAGCUCAGAUGGUAGAGCACCUGACUUUUAAUCAGGUUGUCGGGGGUUCGAGUCCCCCAUGU
RNAcentral lists this transfer RNA (66 nucleotides) under bovine gut metagenome. It matches the Rfam family "tRNA". From Rfam's summary of the family: Transfer RNA (tRNA) molecules are approximately 80 nucleotides in length. Their secondary structure includes four short double-helical elements and three loops (D, anti-codon, and T loops). The record is from RNAcentral.